RNAcentral lists this ribosomal RNA (256 nucleotides) under uncultured bacterium. RNAcentral's name for it is "partial 16S ribosomal RNA". It matches the Rfam family "Bacterial small subunit ribosomal RNA", at positions 524 to 777 of the family's 1533-position model. The record is from RNAcentral.
UACGAAGGGGGCUAGCGUUGCUCGGAAUCACUGGGCGUAAAGCGCACGUAGGCGGAUUGCUAAGUCAGGGGUGAAAUCCUGGAGCUCAACUCCAGAACUGCCUUUGAUACUGAAAGUCUUGAGUAUGGGAGAGGUGAGUGGAACUGCGAGUGUAGAGGUGAAAAUUCGUAGAUAUUCGCAAGAACACCAGUGGCGAAGGCGGCUCACUGGCCCAUUACUGACGCUGAGGCACGAAAGCGCUGGGGAGCAAACAGGG